RNAcentral lists this non-coding RNA (29 nucleotides) under Homo sapiens (human). The record is from RNAcentral. Lineage: Eukaryota; Metazoa; Chordata; Mammalia; Primates; Hominidae.
UGACAGCCCUUGGUAUACUGGUUCUCCUC